Molecule: ribosomal RNA, 513 nt
Filed under: uncultured bacterium
Lineage: Bacteria
Description: partial 16S ribosomal RNA
Rfam family: Bacterial small subunit ribosomal RNA
Source: RNAcentral
GACGAACGCUGGCGGCGUGCUUAACACAUGCAAGUCGAACGAGAGCGUAGAGAAAGCUUGCUUUUUCUACAAUCUAGUGGCAAACAGGUGAGUAACGCGUAAACAACCUGCCCUACGGAUGGGGACAACAGCUGGAAACGGCUGCUAAUACCGAAUACGUUCCGAAAGUCGCAUGACUAUCGGAAGAAAGGAUGGCCUCUAUUUAUAAGCUAUCGCCGGAGGAGGGGUUUGCGUCUGAUUAGCUAGUUGGAGGGGUAACGGCCCACCAAGGCGACGAUCAGUAGCCGGUCUGAGAGGAUGAACGGCCACAUUGGAACUGAGACACGGUCCAGACUCCUACGGGAGGCAGCAGUGGGGAAUCUUCCGCAAUGGGCGAAAGCCUGACGGAGCAACGCCGCGUGAGUGAAGACGGCCUUCGGGUUGUAAAGCUCUGUUAUACGGGACGAAUAAUCUUGUGGUUAAUACCCAUGAGAAGUGACGGUACCGUAAGAGAAAGCCACGGCUAACUACGUG